AUCCUACGGGACGCAGCAGUGAGGAAUAUUGGUCAAUGGACACAAGUCUGAACUAGCCAUGCCGCGUGCAGGAAGACGGCUCUAUGAGUUGUAAACUGCUUUUGUACGAGGGUAAACGCAGAUACGUGUAUCUGUCUGAAAGUAUCGUACGAAUAAGGAUCGGCUAACUCCGUGCCAGCAGCCGCGGUAAUACGGAGGAUUCAAGCGUUAUCCGGAUUUAUUGGGUUUAAAGGGUGCGUAGGCGGUUUGAUAAGUUAGAGGUGAAAUACCGGUGCUCAACACCGGAACUGCCUCUAAUACUGUUG
This 305-nucleotide ribosomal RNA is filed under the name uncultured bacterium. RNAcentral describes it as "bacterial SSU rRNA". It matches the Rfam family "Bacterial small subunit ribosomal RNA", at positions 335 to 638 of the family's 1533-position model. The record is from RNAcentral.